UGACAGACUGGGGUGAUGUCGGAAAGGACAUUUUCCUGUCGUUAAAGGACCGGGGUGUUGGAUGGAAAGGACAUUUUCCCGUCAUUAAAGGAUAGAGGGUCCGGUUAGCCCUGACCAUUAUCCGUUUCCAAUUCACCAACGCAAAGACGCUUGCCCGAUCCAUCAAAACUCCGGGUCAGUGCUCUAAAAUGAGUCUCUCUGGGGAGAGAGAGGAGGGGGGCCCUGCCUCUAAAAUGCAUCUCUCUGGGGGACAUGACACCAAAGCUAAGAGACCAAUCAAGCAGGAGAGACCAGCCUCCCCUGUUCCCAGCUGUGUGUCCGUGAAGAGUGACCAGUCUAUGAAUCUACCUAUAGAGUUUAGAGAGGGAGACUUUUCUACUGAACAAAGGUAAGAGGAACUCAUGGGUCCUGGUCAGUGAGUUAAACAACACUGUCUCUAGUAAUUUCUCCUCUCCCAUUUUCCAAUUUAUUGUUGUUGUUUUCAUAAUCCAUAGGCUAAUCAUAUUGGCCAUUUCCAUAGUCCUAAAACAAUAUUAAACAAACACAACAUUCCCUCCCUGUGUGUGUGUGAAUGUGAGUGUGUGUGUGUGUGUGUGUGUGUGUGUGUGUGUGCACUCCCUGGAUGUGGAGAUGUAAACUCUAUCCAGAUUGCGUAGUCACUUUUACCCCUACCUACAUGUAUAUAUUAUCUCAAUUAUAGUCUCAUUAUUACCUCAACUACCUGGUACCCUGCACAUUGACUCAGUACUGGUUCUCCUUAUAGUCUCAUUAUUACCUCAACUACCUGGUACCCUGCACAUUGACUCAAUACUGGUUCUCCUUAUAGUCUCAUUAUUCCCUCAACUACCUGGUACCCUGCACAUUUUCUCAGUACUGGUUCUCCUUAUAGUCUCAUUAUUGUUUUUUUAGCACAUUUUUCGUACUUUUAACUGCAUUGUUGGGAAAGAGCUUAUCAGUCAGCAUUUCACAGUAAAGUGUACACCUGUUGUAUUCGGCUCAUGUGAGAAUUACAUUUUGAUCUGAUUUGAAGCUCAUUGGCAGAAACACGUCGUUGGGUGUAAUAGUCGUCUCGUGCUGAAGAGAUGUUCAGAUGUUGAAGCACGGUGGCUAGAAAAACUCCCUAGAAAGUUACGAACAUAGGAAGAAACCUAGAGAGGAACCAGGCUCUGAGGGGUGACCAGUCCUCUUCUGGCUGUGCUGGGGAGAGAUAAUAAGAGAACAUGGCCAUUAAGUUCAAAUCAUUCUUCAAGAUGUUCAAAUGUUCAUACCCUACUAGCAGGGUCAAACAAUAAUCACAGUGGUUAUUGAGGGUGCGAUUGGUCAGUACCUCAGGAGUAAACCUGCCUCACCCAAUGUGAUACGGAAUCACUAUUAUUUUUCAUUUUAGAACACAUUCAAGAACCACCAGAAGCUAAUCAGCUAAUUAGCUACAAGCUAUACGACUGGUCUGCUGACGUAUAUUCUAUCCUCUGUGCCUUCAACCGGCCUCCGUCUGAGCAGACCCCCUACCACCCCCAGGCUACUAACUUUAAACGCCGUGUCGCCCGUGUGCUAGCGUAGUGGCGGCUUCCCUGUUCCAUCUACUGCUGCCCCCUGGGCACUAUGAUCACUUGGCUACAUAGCUGAUGCUUGCUGGACACUAUGAUCACUUGGCCACAUAGCUGAUGCCUGCGGGACACUAUGAUCACUUGGCCACUUUGCUGAUGCCUGCUGGACACGAUGAUCAUUUGGCCACAUAGCUGAUGUCUGCCAGACUGUCCAUUAUCACGGUACUCCAUUCUGUUUAUACAUUUUUUAUCUGUCGGCCCCGGCCGCGAACUCAGGCUCUGUGUGUAGUUAAUCCGACCCUCUCUGCCUCAUCAUCGCCAUUUCAACUGCUGUUGUUGUGUUAGCUGAUUAGCUGUUGUUAUCUCACCUGUUGUUUUAGCUAGCUCCCCCCAAUCAACACCUGCAAUUUAUGCCUCACAGGUGUUGAUUGUGUUUUUGCCUCGAUUUAUGCCUCGCCUCGCGACUUUAUGCCUCGCUGUAUGUCUCUCUCAAAUGUCAAUAUGCCUUGUACAGUGCCUUGCGAAAGUAUUCGGCCACCUUGAACUUUGCGACCUUUUGCCACA
Long non-coding RNA from Oncorhynchus masou masou (cherry salmon), 2111 nucleotides. RefSeq lists it as uncharacterized. The record is from RefSeq and is a predicted model, not a curated record. The transcript has 5 exons. NCBI's taxonomy places the organism in Eukaryota, Metazoa, Chordata, Actinopteri, Salmoniformes, Salmonidae.